GCGAAUGGCUCAUUAAAUCAGUUAUCGUUUAUUUGAUAGUACCUUACUACUUGGAUAACCGUGGUAAUUCUAGAGCUAAUACAUGCUAAAAAUCCCAACCUCUGGAAGGGAUGUAUUUAUUAGAUAAAAAACCAAUGCCUUCGGGCUUUUUGGUGAUUCAUGAUAACUUUACGAAUCGCAUGGCCUUGUGCCGGCGAUGGUUCAUUCAAAUUUCUGCCCUAUCAACUUUCGAUGGUAGGAUAGUGGCCUACCAUGGUUUCAACGGGUAACGGGGAAUUAGGGUUCGAUUCCGGAGAGGGAGCCUGAGAAACGGCUACCACAUCCAAGGAAGGCAGCAGGCGCGCAAAUUACCCAAUCCCGACACGGGGAGGUAGUGACAAGAAAUACUGAUACAGGGCCCAUUCGGGUCUUGUAAUUGGAAUGAGUACAAUUUAAACCCUUUAACGAGGAACAAUUGGAGGGCAAGUCUGGUGCCAGCAGCCGCGGUAAUUCCAGCUCCAAUAGCGUAUAUUAAAGUUGUUGCAGUUAAAAAGCUCGUAGUUGAACCUUGGGUCUGGGUAACCGGUCCGCUUCACCGUGUGCACUGGAAGCCCGGACCUUUCCUUCUGGAGAACCGCAUGCCCUUUAUUGGGUGUGUAGGGGAACCAGGACUUUUACUUUGAAAAAAUUAGAGUGCUCAAAGCAGGCAUUUGCUCGAAUACAUUAGCAUGGAAUAAUAAAAUAGGACGUGCGGUUCUAUUUUGUUGGUUUCUAGGACCGCCGUAAUGAUUAAUAGGGAUAGUCGGGGGCAUCCGUAUUCGAUUGUCAGAGGUGAAAUUCUUGGAUUUUUCGAAGACGAACUACUGCGAAAGCAUUUGCCAAGGAUGUUUUCAUUAAUCAGGAACGAAAGUUGAGGGAUCGAAAACGAUCAGAUACCGUUGUAGUCUCAACCAUAAACUAUGCCGACUAGGGAUCGGGCGAUGUUUUAUUCUGACUCGCUCG
Molecule: ribosomal RNA, 981 nt
Filed under: Octosporopsis erinacea
Lineage: Eukaryota; Fungi; Ascomycota; Pezizomycetes; Pezizales; Pyronemataceae
Description: SSU rRNA
Rfam family: Eukaryotic small subunit ribosomal RNA
Source: RNAcentral